Molecule: ribosomal RNA, 76 nt
Filed under: Priestia megaterium
Lineage: Bacteria; Bacillati; Bacillota; Bacilli; Caryophanales; Bacillaceae
Source: RNAcentral
UCUGGUGGCGAUAGCGAAGAGGUCACACCCGUUCCCAUACCGAACACGGAAGUUAAGCUCUUUAGCGCCAAUGGUA